Long non-coding RNA from Uranotaenia lowii, 1152 nucleotides. RefSeq lists it as uncharacterized. The record is from RefSeq and is a predicted model, not a curated record. Lineage: Eukaryota; Metazoa; Arthropoda; Insecta; Diptera; Culicidae. The transcript has 3 exons.
AUUAUGCAGCAUAUUUAUUUGCGACGAGCAUCUAGGAAAGAUGAACGAUUCAAACCCCUGCUGGAGUAGAACGCGGGAUGCAUGGGGAAACUAUGAACGUGCUACAAUUAUACCCUUCGAUGCAACGGUUGAACUUCGAAAAUUAUCCCAUCUCUUUUUAUCGAUAAGCGAAAAAAGAUGAGCUGAACUGAUUUCCUCUCAGUGCCUCUCGAAAUCAUGCAGUCGUACAUGAGGAGUAAACAUUAAACUGCUAAAAGCUUAGGUUGCAACGGACCUUCCGAUGACAGCAAACGUAAAUGAAGAUGCUGAUCCUUCGGAAAUGGAAGGCGAACCAAAACCGUUCACGAAGAUUGUUUCGGGAGAUGUUGUUCGCAAACGGCACCAGUCCGCAACAUCAGCCAGAAUCAGAUGCCGUGUAUUACGAGGCAAAAUAAAACACCUCCACCACCUUCCUCUACUGGAUAAACUAAUGAACAAUUGCAAAUUAACAUUGAAAAUAUAAGGCACGCACGACAUUUGUAGCACCAUCAAUUGAUGGUCUGGAUUCAGUAUUUAGAGUAUCGCUAUCAGUUUCAGUAAGACUAAAGAGGCUAGUAAAAUCAUCCGCAAUGGGUUCUGAUGCAGAAUCAGCAUUCACUGUUCGUCUGGGUCUCCAGGCCAUCUUAAGCAGCCCUUGGACAUACACACGCAGAAGCUAAAUGCAGAAAUCUUGGUUGAAGAGAAUAAUGGUAAACUUCUUUCAAACUCUAAUCAUCUGUCUUUCAAACUUGAGGCUUACGGUACAAUGUUCUGCUGGAAUAGGACUUAAAUAUCACGGACUGCUAGUAUCACUAUAAUAAACCUGGCUGGUUCAAUUACAAAAUACUGCUCUAGAAAAAACAUCAAUUCAAACGAGCCCUCAACGGAAGUGCCAAGCGGAAUAAAAACUUUGUUGCUUUUUUUAUGUGUCGAUUAAGGUAUCGUCCGGUUUUGCAGAACGCUUCUGAUGCACUUUGACCACAACGAGACUUUGAAUUGAAUGAAGAAAAUGCCCAUAUUUUAUCGUUUCAAGUUGGCCAAAUAAUCCGCUGGGUUUCCUCAAUCUGCCGAAUCAAGUGGAGAUUUUCAGUCAACCAUGGUGCUGUAUAACGACUGAGUUUAUUCAUACCCAAU